GUCUAUCUAUCAAUCGAUCACAUAUUUAUUUUAACAGAAAGGAUGUACCCUGCAUCACAGACAGGCAUCUGCCUUCGCAUGCAGUGGCAAUAUUUUAAAAAUUAUCGCCUCAUCUGACUGACCCAUCCAUGUUUUUCCUUCUGACCACCACAGGUACACUAUUAAGGCAACAGAGUGGGCACCACACUUCCAGAAUCAAGUUGGUGGAGGACAUUUUCUCACAGCGGGUCUGCAAUCAUACCUUGUCUGGUCCCUCACCAAGGACUUAUUUACCAUAGCCCACCCAGGCAACAAAGCUCCUGGGAUCAUUCAGACACACAAGCCCCUCCACCACGAUCAAGUGACCUCUCAUCGAGGGGGCUUCCAAACGUAUCUCACACAUUGGUCAUGGCAUCCAAACAAAGAGGAACAGUAAUGAUCGCGUAAGGGUCUAUCUGGUUCAACGAAGCGAGUUACAAAGUACGAAACCUUCAGUUCCAUAGCGCUAACUAUGAGCAUCGAAGACCUUGAAGCGUCCCGUGGCUGGGUUCAAAAGUUCGUUGCACGACAUCAGAUGAGAAACGUUGUCUUGUGUGGUGAUUGACGUGAGGUCAAGUUAGAGACAGUGAGUGAGUAGAAAGAAAAGCCACCAGGGUCUUUUACUCGUCUCAUUUUGUAGCAAAUAAUCCUAACUUUGUUAUAUUUUGUAUAUUUUUUAUUUUUUAUAUACCUGUACUGUAUGCUGCAGUUUUGUGUUAUAAACAGUUUUUGGGCAAUAUACCGGUAUUGUUGCACUUUGUUGCUUAUGUUGUCACACAUCUACAGUAUGUUGUGAACAUACUUGGCCGUUCAUACAGGACAUAUACCAUAGUUGAUUCACUGUUCUCAUUUAAGAAGCAUGGUAAUACUUUAAUGCUCUUAAUUCUGUUGAUGUUUGCUGUGGACUGUCAAUAUGUGCAGUUUUUUAUAUGUACCGUAUCUUGUGCUGACCCGGCCCACCUGUCAAAUUUUAGAAAUCAGGCCCCGAGCCAAAACUGUUGCC
This is a long non-coding RNA of Hippocampus zosterae (dwarf seahorse), 1021 nucleotides long. RefSeq lists it as uncharacterized. The transcript has 3 exons. The record is from RefSeq and is a predicted model, not a curated record. Lineage: Eukaryota; Metazoa; Chordata; Actinopteri; Syngnathiformes; Syngnathidae.